RNAcentral lists this long non-coding RNA (401 nucleotides) under Gallus gallus (chicken). Lineage: Eukaryota; Metazoa; Chordata; Aves; Galliformes; Phasianidae. The record is from RNAcentral.
AUUUGUUGUGACCUGUUGACCUUAAGAUGAGAGGAGCAGUGGAAAGGCGAGAAUAACACGCACACAUAAAAAAAGGCAAGAGUCAUGACACCCAGUUCAGAGUACCAUUACUGUACAGAAAGAAAUGUAAGGAGAUAUUGGUUGGCUUUGAAUGGGGUGUAAAAUGCACCAGUAUUUCUCUUCAAAUUUGCUCCUGUGGGAAAUGCUUUUCAGCAUUUGAAUCAUUUUAAUGGUUGAGGUUGGAAAGGACCUCAAGAGAUCACCUGAUCCAACUCCCUGCUCAAGCAGAAAUGCGUACAGCUGAUUCCUUCGGACCAUGCCCAGGUAGGUGGUUUUUGAAGCUCUCCAAGGUGGGAGACACCUGAGACUCUCUGGGCAACCUGUGCCAGUGUUCAGUCGCC